Homo sapiens (human) is the source of this 70-nucleotide small nuclear RNA. The record is from Ensembl. NCBI's taxonomy places the organism in Eukaryota, Metazoa, Chordata, Mammalia, Primates, Hominidae.
GUGCUCACUUCAGCAGUGCAUAUACUAAAAUUGGAAUGAUACAGAAAAGAUUAGCAUGGCCCCUGCACAA